GAAGAACGUAGCGAAAUGCGAUAAGUAAUGUGAAUUGCAGAAUUCAGUGAAUCAUCGAAUCUUUGAACGCACAUUGCGCCCGCCAGUAUUCUGGCGGGCAUGCCUGUUCGAGCGUCAUUACAACCCUCAGGCCCCCGGGCCUGGCGUUGGGGAUCGGCGGAAGCCCCCUGCGGGCACAACGCCGUCCCCCAAAUACAGUGGCGGUCCCGCCGCAGCUUCCAUUGCGUAGUAGCUAACACCUCGCAACUGGAGAGCGGCGCGGCCACGCCGUAAAACACCCAACUUCUGAAUGUUGACCUCGAAUCAGGUAGGAAUACCCGCUGAACUUAAGCAUAUCAAUAAGCGGAGGA
RNAcentral lists this unclassified non-coding RNA (350 nucleotides) under soil metagenome. RNAcentral's name for it is "partial contains 5.8S ribosomal RNA, internal transcribed spacer 2, and large subunit ribosomal RNA". The stretch from base 1 to 117 matches the Rfam family "5.8S ribosomal RNA", at positions 38 to 154 of the family's 154-position model. The record is from RNAcentral.